UACGGAGGGUGCAAGCGUUGCUCGGAAUUAUUGGGCGUAAAGCGCGUGUAGGCGGUUACCUAAGUCUGAUGUGAAAGCCCGGGGCUUAACCCCGGAACUGCAUUGGAUACUGGGUGACUAGAGGUCGAGAGAGGGUGGUGGAAUUCCUGGUGUAGGGGUGAAAUCCGUAGAUAUCAGGAGGAACAUCAGUGGCGAAGGCGGCCACCUGGCUCGAUUCUGACGCUGAGACGCGAAAGCGUGGGGAGCAAACAGG
This 253-nucleotide ribosomal RNA is filed under the name uncultured bacterium. Its description in RNAcentral is "partial 16S ribosomal RNA". It matches the Rfam family "Bacterial small subunit ribosomal RNA", at positions 524 to 776 of the family's 1533-position model. The record is from RNAcentral.